Molecule: ribosomal RNA, 440 nt
Filed under: uncultured bacterium
Lineage: Bacteria
Description: partial 16S ribosomal RNA
Rfam family: Bacterial small subunit ribosomal RNA
Source: RNAcentral
CCUACGGGUGGCAGCAGUGGGGAAUAUUGCACAAUGGGGGGAACCCUGAUGCAGCGACGCCGCGUGGGUGAAGGAGUAUUUCGGUAUGUAAAGCCCUAUCAGCAGGGAAGAACAAUGACGGUACCUGACUAAGAAGCCCCGGCUAACUACGUGCCAGCAGCCGCGGUAAUACGUAGGAUGCGAGCGUUAUCCGGAUUUAUUGGGUUUAAAGGGUGCGCAGGCGGGAGAUCAAGUCAGCGGUAAACUGUCGGGGCUCAACCCCGGCCGGCCGUUGAAACUGGUUUUCUAGAGUUGGAGAGAAGUAUGCGGAAUUCGUGGUGUAGCGGUGAAAUGCAUAGAUAUCACGAAGAACUCCGAUUGCGAAGGCAGCAUACCGGCUCCAUACUGACGCUGAGGCACGAAAGCGUGGGGAUCGAACAGGAUUAGAUACCCCUGUAGUC